This 73-nucleotide transfer RNA is filed under the name Massilia sp. JS1662. RNAcentral's name for it is "tRNA-Arg". It matches the Rfam family "tRNA". Rfam says of the family: Transfer RNA (tRNA) molecules are approximately 80 nucleotides in length. Their secondary structure includes four short double-helical elements and three loops (D, anti-codon, and T loops). Further hydrogen bonds mediate the characteristic L-shaped molecular structure. tRNAs have two regions of fundamental functional importance: the anti-codon, which is responsible for specific mRNA codon recognition, and the 3' end, to which the tRNAs corresponding amino acid is attached (by aminoacyl-tRNA synthetases). tRNAs cope with the degeneracy of the genetic code in two manners: having more than one tRNA (with a specific anti-codon) for a particular amino acid; and 'wobble' base-pairing, i.e. permitting non-standard base-pairing at the 3rd anti-codon position. The record is from RNAcentral. Lineage: Bacteria; Pseudomonadati; Pseudomonadota; Betaproteobacteria; Burkholderiales; Oxalobacteraceae.
GCCCUCGUAGCUCAGGGGAUAGAGCGUCUGCCUCCGGAGCAGAAGGUCGUAGGUUCGAAUCCUAUCGGGGCCG